This is a long non-coding RNA of Cavia porcellus (domestic guinea pig), 306 nucleotides long. RefSeq lists it as uncharacterized. The record is from RefSeq and is a predicted model, not a curated record. Lineage: Eukaryota; Metazoa; Chordata; Mammalia; Rodentia; Caviidae. The transcript has 3 exons.
GAGGGAUAAUGACGGGGGACCGUUCACAGGAGUAAAGCGCUGGCCAGUGUGACUGAUUCAAGGACAUCGUUCCUGUGAUCUGUGCAGACGGCCACCUUACGUCUUGCCUGAAUCACGAUAUUGGAAAGAAACUGUUCAAAAGAAAAGAGAAACUGCAAUAGAGGAAAGGGAAAAGAAAGGAAGGGAAAAGAAAAAAAAAUAUAUAUGUGUGUACGCCCAAGAUAGGGUCCCACUGCAUAGCCCAGACAGGCCUUUAACUCAAAGGGAUCCUCCUGCCUCAGCUUCCAGACUGCUAUGAUUACAGGU